RNAcentral lists this small RNA (2072 nucleotides) under Manduca sexta (tobacco hornworm). Its description in RNAcentral is "uncharacterized LOC115449890". The record is from RNAcentral. Lineage: Eukaryota; Metazoa; Arthropoda; Insecta; Lepidoptera; Sphingidae.
AUAGAACUUGAUAUUUAUAUUUUACUGUCAAAUUUUUAGUUUACUUUCUACUCCGUGCAGUGAGGUUUUUGUGAUUUUUAUUAACAAAUUAAUUAAUAAUGUCUUCGGCCAAGACCUCGGAUUUGGACCUCGAUGAUAUUUCAGACAUAGAUAUAACAUUGAUGACGCUCAGGAAACCGACUGAGCUGAAGAAGGUGAUUGACUCGAUACCAAAACCUGUUAGAGCUGUUCCCAAAAAUGGAUUACCGCUGUGGUAUAGACUUGGGCUUGAAAAUAAGCUGCCUAUGCCAAAAAUGCCAGCUGGGAAAAUUAUAUUCUCGCGCGGAAAGAUUGGUGAAGAUGUGCGUCGUCUCGGCCUCGGCAAAGACGGCCCGCAGCCGACCUUCGACCUGACUGAUCCGUACUGCAACAACGUAUCCUAUGACUACGUGCCCAUGCAUGACCCACACCUGGCUCAUCACUUCGCGCAGAAGCCGGCGAGGAGACGCAUGAAGCAGCUCGGCUACUGCACCAAGGAAGGCAGGGCGGUGUGCUCACUGAAGGAGUUCAAUCAGUACAGGAAAUAUCUGUACAAUCAGUUCAUGGACCGAAUUCAUGUGGAGAUGAGGAAUCUGGAUGAGCGAGCGCGCGAUGACUUGACGCUGAAGCGAGUGGAGGUGGACGUGGCGCGGCGGUUGCAGGUAUUCACCAAAGCGGAGAAGGCCAGAGAACACCUAGAGAGGGUAGCGCAGGAACAUGCAGAUGAAUGGGCCGAAAAAAAACGACUAGCCAAAGAACAAGAGAAGAAAAUACAAGCCAGAAUGAAAUAUUUGGCGGAGUACAACGAGAAGCAACGUCGCGAGCGAGCGGCGCGUGCGCAUGAGAAACAGAACCGAAUAAAGCAGAGAGUUCAGGCCGCGGCGGAGAUGGAGCUGCGAAGAAAGAUUACCAUGGUUCGCCAGUGGCGGACGAAUGAGAAGAAGCGAUUCGACUAAAGAAAGGGAGGCCAAAAAGAAACGACUUGAGGAUGAGGCAAAUGAGAAAUGGAGAAUGCGUGUAGAGGCUCAGAAUCAAAAAAUACAAGAAGAAGCACUCCUCCCCUGCUGCCACACAGAAGAUAUGACGGCUGGAGCGAUGAGACGAGCAAAGAAGGCAGAGGUUUACGCGUACAAUACGGACUUGGAACUGCAGAGAAUCAGACUAGCCAAUUGGAAACAACCACGGCGGCACAGCGAAGGCGAAUCAACUCGUUAGGAAAAUGGGCGUGGAAUUUGAAAAGUCCAAGCGUGGAGCAAAGGCAUGAGCCCUGAGCUAGCGCAGCAACUGGCGGUCGAGGCGAUGGCCACAGCGGUGUCGACACAAGGCGACGCUCUGAUGACUUUGGGACAGGCGCGGGCCAGGAUGGAUCUGCAAACUGUGUUGCCUUCUGCUCCAGUCAAGUUGCUUGAAGAGGUAUUCUAUCCCAAAAAAAAUAUUGAACGCGGUGUGACGCGGCGGCGCGUGCACCUGCUGCUGCGCGACGUGGAGCGCGUGGUGAGCUCGCGCGCCGCGCACGUGUUCUUCCAGAAUUACCGCCCCACCGCCGCCAAGAAACGCGCGAAAGUACCACGAUGGUCCGUCCAAGUGGCAGCAGAGCUGGCGAGGCAAUACGUGAACGUUGACGGCGCGUCGAUAGCGUUCGGCGAGAUCGUGACCAUCGCGCCGGAGACCACCACCGAUGUCGACAUGAAGAGCGUCAAGGAUCGACCCCCCACGCCUGUGGUAACGCUGCGACCAACAAUGCUUAUUUUCUUCUAUCAAAGGCACGGUAAAGUGCUUUACUACAAGUCUGCACGCGAUGGUAAGUGAAGUGACGUCCAAAAAGAAUACCAACCGGCAAGAGAUAAAUAUAUCUCCAGAAUGAGGGCUCACGGCACAGUUAUGACGACCUGCCUAUUCUCUUCACGCUCCGAUUGAAGGACCCCAAGAAGUAGGAAAAGGGAAACACGUAUGCUGGCACACUAUUCCACAGCUUUGGGGCCGUGCAAGUAUUACGUAACGCAAUUUUUAUUGAUAUUUGACCCUCCACCCCCCAUGUAACGCGCCGUAAGGUU